AUACGGAGGAUGCGAGCGUUAUCCGGAUUUACUGGGAGUAAAGGGCGUGUAGGCGGUCUUGCAAGUCAGAAGUGAAAUUCCUGAGCUCAACUCGGGCGCUGCUUCUGAAACUGCAGGACUUGAGUGCUGGAGGGGAUAGCGGAAUUCCUAGUGGAGCGGUAAAAUGCGCAGAUAUUAGGAAGAACACCGGGGGCUAAGGCGGCUAUCUGGUCAGUAACUGACGCUGAGGCGCGGAAGCGUGUGGAGCAAACAGGAUUAGAUACCCGGGUAGUCCACGCCGUAAACGAUGAAUACUAGGUGUAGGGGGUAUCGACUCCCUCUGUGCCGCAGUUAACACAAUAAGUAUUCCGCCUGGGGAGUACGGCCGCAAGGUUGAAACUCAAAGGAAUUGACGGGG
This 397-nucleotide ribosomal RNA is filed under the name uncultured bacterium. Its description in RNAcentral is "partial 16S ribosomal RNA". It matches the Rfam family "Bacterial small subunit ribosomal RNA", at positions 523 to 918 of the family's 1533-position model. The record is from RNAcentral.